RNAcentral lists this ribosomal RNA (492 nucleotides) under uncultured bacterium. RNAcentral's name for it is "partial 16S ribosomal RNA". It matches the Rfam family "Bacterial small subunit ribosomal RNA", at positions 29 to 507 of the family's 1533-position model. The record is from RNAcentral.
AGUGAACGCUGGCGGUAGGCCUAACACAUGCAAGUCGAACGGCAGCACAGUAAGGGCUUGCUCUUACGGGUGGCGAGUGGCGGACGGGUGAGGAAUACAUCGGAAUCUACUUUUUCGUGGGGGAUAACGUAGGGAAACUUACGCUAAUACCGCAUACGACCUACGGGUGAAAGCAGGAGAUCUUCGGACCUUGCGCGACUGAAUGAGCCGAUGUCGGAUUAGCUAGUUGGCGGGGUAAAGGCCCACCAAGGCGACGAUCCGUAGCUGGUCUGAGAGGAUGAUCAGCCACACUGGAACUGAGACACGGUCCAGACUCCUACGGGAGGCAGCAGUGGGGAAUAUUGCACAAUGGGCGCAAGCCUGAUCCAGCCAUACCGCGUGGGUGAAGAAGGCCUUCGGGUUGUAAAGCCCUUUUGUUGGGGAAGAAAAGCAGCAGGUUAAUACCCCGCUGUUCUGACGGUACCCAAAGAAUAAGCCCCGGCUAACUUCGUG